RNAcentral lists this long non-coding RNA (256 nucleotides) under Mytilus galloprovincialis (Mediterranean mussel). Lineage: Eukaryota; Metazoa; Mollusca; Bivalvia; Mytilida; Mytilidae. The record is from RNAcentral.
AUUCAUUUAAUCCCUUUAUCAAAAUUUAAGUUUUAUAAAAUGUUUUGUGGAUUUUAUUUUUCUAAUCAUACAAUUCUAGGCAGUGGCGUAGCCAGGGUUCAAAUGAUGUGGAUGUUUCGCCGAGCGGAGCUAUGCGAAAAAAUUUUGCUUUUUAUGCAGAAAAUUAUUUUUUAUUUAAGCACAUGUACUCCCCAAGAAUCCGACACUGGUUAGAUUUUUGUUUAAAUUCAAAAUACCCCACCAAUACAUAAAAUUA